AAACUUUCAGCAACGGAUCUCUUGGUUCUGGCAUCGAUGAAGAACGCAGCGAAAUGCGAUAAGUAAUGUGAAUUGCAGAAUUCAGUGAAUCAUCGAAUCUUUGAACGCACAUUGCGCCCGACAGUACUCUGUCGGGCAUGCCUGUCCGAGCGUCAUUU
This 158-nucleotide ribosomal RNA is filed under the name Ascomycota sp. H50. Its description in RNAcentral is "5.8S ribosomal RNA". It matches the Rfam family "5.8S ribosomal RNA". Rfam says of the family: 5.8S ribosomal RNA (5.8S rRNA) is a component of the large subunit of the eukaryotic ribosome. It is transcribed by RNA polymerase I as part of the 45S precursor that also contains 18S and 28S rRNA. Lineage: Eukaryota; Fungi; Ascomycota. The record is from RNAcentral.